Anopheles funestus (African malaria mosquito) is the source of this 3966-nucleotide long non-coding RNA. RefSeq lists it as uncharacterized. The transcript is spliced from 3 exons. NCBI's taxonomy places the organism in Eukaryota, Metazoa, Arthropoda, Insecta, Diptera, Culicidae. The record is from RefSeq and is a predicted model, not a curated record.
AGCAUUAUUUGAGUGAAAAGAAACACAUUGCAACAAAUUUGCAUGAAAAUAUAUCACAUUUAUAAAGUUUGCUACAUUGCUCAAAAAUGAGGAAAAUUUUACAUUUUCUCAAACAGGGUAAGGAACUUGGUUCCUCGAAUAACUUCCGACACGGACACCUGAGAGCAUGGCUGUCCAAGAAGAAAAUGUAGCCAUUGGUGCCAUCUAUCGACCACAGGUUAAAGAUUGGCGAUCCGUUGGAUACCGACCGAGUUAUAGCCAAAAUUUGGUGCAAAAAUGAGCCUUAGUAAAUUUUCAUUUUUUUGAAUAUUUUGAUUUUUUUAUUAUUUUUCACACUUUUUUUUAUUUAAAGCAUUACUUGAGUGAAAAGAAACACAUUGCAACCAAUUGGCAUUAAAAUAAAUCAAUUUCAUUUUUUUUGCAAAAUUUCCCAAAAAAAACGUAAGGGGUAAGCCUUAUGAAAUUUUCGAGUGGAAAUUUUUUUUGAAAUUUUUUUCUGAUUUUUUAUUAUUUUUUUAAUUUAAAGCAUUGUUUGAGUGAAAAGAAACACAUUGCAACAAAUUUGCAUGAAAAUAUAUCACAUUUAUAAAGUUUGCUAAAUUGCUCAAAAUUGAGGAAAAUUUUACAUUUUCUCAAACAGGGUAAGGAACUAAGUUCCUCGAAUAACUUCCGGCGCGGACACCUGAGAGCAUGGCUGUCGAAGAAGAAAAUCUAGCCAUUGGUGCCAUCUAUCGACCACAGUUUAAAGAUUGGCGAUCCGUUAGAUACCGACCGAGUUAUAGACAAAACUUGGGGCAAAAAUGAGCCUUAGUAAAUUUUCAUUUUUUUGAAUAUUUUGAUUUUUUUAUUAUUUUUCACACUUUUUUUUAUUUAAAGCAUUAAUUGAGUGAAAAGAAACACAUUGCAACCAAUUGGCAUUAAAAUAAAUCAAUGUAAUUUUUUUUGCAAAAUUUCCCAAAAAAAACGUAAGGGGUAAGCCUUAUGAAAUUUUCGAGUGGAAAUUUUUUUUGAAAUUUUUUUCUGAUUUUUUAUUAUUUUUUUAAUUUAAAGCAUUGUUUGAGUGAAAAGAAACACAUUGCAACAAAUUCGCAAUAAAAUAUAUCACAUUUAAAAAUUUUGCUGAAGUGCAGAAAAAUUGAGGAAAAUUUUACAUUUUCUCAAACAGGGUAAGGAACUUGGUUCCUCGAAUAACUUCUGGCACAGACAUCUGAGGGCAUGGCCGUCCAAGAAGAAAAUGUAGCCAUUUUUGCCAUCUAUCGACCACAGGUUAAAGAUUGGCGAUCCGUUGGAUACCGACCGAGUUAUAGGCAAAACUUGGUGCAAAAAUGAGGAAAAUUUUACAUUUUCUCAAACAGGGUAAGGAACUUGGUUCCUCGAAUAACUUCUGGCACAGAGAUCUGAGGGCAUGGCCGUCCAAGAAGAAAAUGUAGCCAUUGGUGCCAUCUAUCGACCACAGGUUAAAGAUUGGCGAUCCGUUAGAUACCGACCGAGUUAUAGGCAAAACUUGGUGCAAAAAUGAGGAAAAUUUUACAUUUUCUCAAACAGGGUAAGGAACUUGGUUCCUCGAAUAACUUCCGGCACGGACACCUGAGAGCAUGGCCGUCCAAGAAGAAAAUGUAGCCAUUGGUGCCAUCUAUCCACCACAGGUUAAAGAUUGGCGAUCCGUUGGAUACCGACCGAGUUAUAGGCAAAACUUGGUGCAAAAAAGAGGAAAAUUUUACAUUUUCUCAAACAGGGUAAGGAACUUGGUUCCUCGAAUAACUUCCGGCACGGACACCUGAGAGCAUGGCCGUCCAAGAAGAAAAUGUAGUAAUUUUUGCCAUCUAUCGACCACAGGUUAAAGAUUGGCGAUCCGUUGGAUACCGACCGAGUUAUAGGCAAAACUUGGUGCAAAAAUGAGGAAAAUUUUACAUUUUCUCAAACAGGGUAAGGAACUUGGUUCCUCGAAUAAGUUCCGGCACGGACACCUGAGAGCAUGGCCGUCCAAGAAGAAAAUGUAGCCAUUGGUGCCAUCUAUCGACCAAAGGUUAAAGAUUGGCGAUCCGUUGGAUACCGACCGAGUUAUAGACAGAACUUGCGGCAAAAAUGAGGAAAAUUUUACAUUUUCUCAAACAGGGUAAGGAACUUGGUUCCUCGAAUAACUUCUGGCACAGACAUCUGAGGGCAUGGCCGUCCAAGAAGAAAAUGUAGCCAUUGGUGCCAUCUAUCGACCACAGGUUAAAGAUUGGCGAUCCGUUGGAUACCGACCGAGUCAUAGGCAAAACUUGGUGCAAAAAUGAGGAAAAUUUUACAUUUUCUCAAACAGGGUAAGGAACUUGGUUCCUCGAAUAACUUCUGGCACAGACAUCUGAGGGCAUGGCCGUCCAAGAAGAAAAUGUAGCCAUUUUUGCCAUCUAUCGACCACAGGUUAAAGAUUGGCGAUCCGUUGGAUACCGACCGAGUUAUAGGCAAAACUUGGUGCAAAAAUGACGAAAAUUUUACAUUUUCUCAAACAGGGUAAGGAACUUGGUUCCUCGAAUAACUUCCGGCACGGACACCUGAGAGCAUGGCCGUCCAAGAAGAAAAUGUAGCCAUUGGUGCCAUCUAUCGACCACAGGUUAAAGAUUGGCGAUCCGUUAGAUACCGACCGAGUUAUAGCCAAAAUUUGGUGCAAAAAUGAGCCUUAGUAAAUUUUCAUUUUUUUGAAUAUUAUGAUUUUUUUAUUAUUUUUCACACUUUUUUUUAUUUAAAGCAUUACUUGAGUGAAAAGAAACACAUUGCAACCAAUUGGCAUUAAAAUAAAUCAAUUUCAUUUUUUUUGCAAAAUUUCCCAAAAAAAACGUAAGGGGUAAGCCUUAUGAAAUUUUCGGGUGGAAAAUUUUUUUGAAAUUUUUUUCUGAUUUUUUAUUAUUUUUUUAAUUUAAAGCAUUAUUUGAGUGAAAAAAAACACAUUGCAACAAAUUCGCAAUAAAAUAUAUCACAUUUAAAAAUUUUGCUGAAGUGCAGAAAAAUUGAGGAAAAUUUUACAUUUUCUCAAACAGGGUAAGGAACUUGGUUCCUCGAAUAACUUCUGGCACAGACAUCUCAGGGCAUGGGCGUCCAAGAAGAAAAUGUAGCCAUUUUUGCCAUCUAUCGACCACAGGUUAAAGAUUGGCGAUCCGUUGGAUACCGACCGAGUUAUAGGCAAAACUUGGUGCAAAAAUGAGGAAAAUUUUACAUUUUCUCAAACAGGGUAAGGAACUUGGUUCCUCGAAUAACUUCCGGCACGGACACCUGAGAGCAUGGCCGUCCAAGAAGAAAAUGUAGCCAUUGGUGCCAUCUAUCGACCACAGGUUAAAGAUUGGCGAUCCGUUGGAUACCGACCGAGUUAUAGCCAAAAUUUGGUGCAAAAAUGAGCCUUAGUAAAUUUUUAUUUUUUUGAUUUUUUUGAUUUUUUUAUUAUUUUUCACACUUUUUUUUAUUUAAAGCAUUACUUGAGUGAAAAGAAACACAUUGCAACCAAUUGGCAUUAAAAUAAAUCAAUUUCAUUUUUUUUGCAAAAUUUCCCAAAAAAAACGUAAGGGGUAAGCCUUAUGAAAUUUUCGAGUGGAAAUUUUUUUUGAAAUUUUUUUCUGAUUUUUUAUUAUUUUUUUAAUUUAAAGCAUUAUUUGAGUGAAAAGAAACACAUUGCAACAAAUUUGCAUGAAAAUAUAUCACAUUUAUAAAGUUUGCUAAUUUGCUCAAAAAUGAGGAAAAUUUUACAUUUCCCAAACAGGGUAAGGAACUUGGUUCCUCGAAUAACUUCCGGCACGGACACCUGAGAGCAUGGCUGUCGAAGAAGAAAAUGUAGCCAUUGGUGCCAUCUAUCGACCACAGGUUAAAGAUUGGCGAUCCGUUGGAUACCGACCGAGUUAUAGGCAAAACUUGGUGCAAAAAAGAGGAAAAUUUUACAUUUUCUCAAACAGGGUAAGGAACUUGGUUCCUCGAAUAACUUCCGGCACGGACACC